CUGCACGAGCUACCCGGGCUUCUCUGAUAGAUCCGUGACGUGAAUGUCCCAAUGCACGUGCGAAAACCACGCCGUUCGUGUUGCAGUUUAGCCCUAAUUUUCAAUGGCUCAAGCUGUGUCAAAGAAACGGCAAAAUUC
Molecule: small nucleolar RNA, 138 nt
Organism: Arachis stenosperma
Lineage: Eukaryota; Viridiplantae; Streptophyta; Magnoliopsida; Fabales; Fabaceae
Product: small nucleolar RNA snoR134
Exons: 1
Source: RefSeq, a predicted model, not a curated record